RNAcentral lists this transfer RNA (76 nucleotides) under Planctomycetota bacterium. Its description in RNAcentral is "Planctomycetes bacterium (bioreactor metagenome) tRNA-Ala". It matches the Rfam family "tRNA". Rfam says of the family: Transfer RNA (tRNA) molecules are approximately 80 nucleotides in length. Their secondary structure includes four short double-helical elements and three loops (D, anti-codon, and T loops). The record is from RNAcentral. Lineage: Bacteria; Pseudomonadati; Planctomycetota.
GGGGCAUUAGCUCAGUUGGGAGAGCGUCUGGAUGGCAUCCAGAAGGUCAGGGGUUCAACUCCCCUAUGCUCCACCA